This 490-nucleotide ribosomal RNA is filed under the name uncultured bacterium. RNAcentral describes it as "partial 16S ribosomal RNA". It matches the Rfam family "Bacterial small subunit ribosomal RNA", at positions 30 to 507 of the family's 1533-position model. The record is from RNAcentral.
AUUGAACGCUGGCGGCAGGCCUAACACAUGCAAGUCGAACGGUAACAGGAAGAAGCUUGCUUCUUUGCUGACGAGUGGCGGACGGGUGAGUAAUGUCUGGGAAACUGCCUGAUGGAGGGGGAUAACUACUGGAAACGGUAGCUAAUACCGCAUAACGUCGCAAGCCCAAAGAGGGGGACCUUCGGGCCUCUUGCCAUCGGAUGUGCCCAGAUGGGAUUAGCUAGUAGGUGGGGUAACGGCUCACCUAGGCGACGAUCCCUAGCUGGUCUGAGAGGAUGACCGGCCACACUGGAACUGAGACACGGUCCAGACUCCUACGGGAGGCAGCAGUGGGGAAUAUUGCACAAUGGGCGCAAGCCUGAUGCAGCCAUGCCGCGUGUAUGAAGAAGGCCUUCGGGUUGUAAAGUACUUUCAGCGGGGAGGAAGGGAGUAAAGUUAAUACCUUUGCUCAUUGACGUUACCCGCAGAAGAAGCACCGGCUAACUCCGUG